Molecule: transfer RNA, 82 nt
Filed under: Hydrogenovibrio crunogenus
Lineage: Bacteria; Pseudomonadati; Pseudomonadota; Gammaproteobacteria; Thiotrichales; Piscirickettsiaceae
Description: Thiomicrospira crunogena tRNA
Rfam family: tRNA
About the family: Transfer RNA (tRNA) molecules are approximately 80 nucleotides in length. Their secondary structure includes four short double-helical elements and three loops (D, anti-codon, and T loops). Further hydrogen bonds mediate the characteristic L-shaped molecular structure. tRNAs have two regions of fundamental functional importance: the anti-codon, which is responsible for specific mRNA codon recognition, and the 3' end, to which the tRNAs corresponding amino acid is attached (by aminoacyl-tRNA synthetases). tRNAs cope with the degeneracy of the genetic code in two manners: having more than one tRNA (with a specific anti-codon) for a particular amino acid; and 'wobble' base-pairing, i.e. permitting non-standard base-pairing at the 3rd anti-codon position.
Source: Rfam by way of RNAcentral
GCCGAUGUGGUGGAAUUGGUAGACACGCUAUCUUGAGGGGGUAGUGGCGUAAGCCGUGCCGGUUCAACUCCGGCCAUCGGCA